This 301-nucleotide ribosomal RNA is filed under the name uncultured bacterium. RNAcentral describes it as "partial 16S ribosomal RNA". It matches the Rfam family "Bacterial small subunit ribosomal RNA", at positions 509 to 807 of the family's 1533-position model. The record is from RNAcentral.
CAGCCGCCGCGGUAAUACGAAGGGUGCAAGCGUUAAUCGGAAUUACUGGGCGUAAAGCGUGCGUAGGCGGUGAGUUAAGUCUGCUGUGAAAUCCCCGGGCUCAACCUGGGAAUGGCAGUGGAUACUGGCUCGCUAGAGUGUGUCAGAGGAUGGUGGAAUUUCCGGUGUAGCGGUGAAAUGCGUAGAGAUCGGGAGGAACAUCAGUGGCGAAGGCGGCCAUCUGGGACAACACUGACGCUGAGGCACGAAAGCGUGGGGAGCAAACAGGAUUAGAUACCCCCGUAGUCCCUGUCUCUUAUAC